UAUACAUUAAAUCUUCUCUAGAUUACUUAUAACUAACACAGUAUAAAUGCUGUAUAAAUAGUAUUUUUUAAAUGUGUAUUACUUUCUGUUGUUAUAUUGUUAUUUUUUAUUGUUUGGGUUUUUUUCUGGAACUUUUCAAUCUGUGGUUGUUGGAAUCUGGGGAUGUAGGACCUGCAAGUACAGAAGGCCAACUGCAUUUGCUAACAAUUCCUGAGUUCUUUGUGUCCCAACAUCCUAAGCAAUCUACUAGGUUCAAAUCUACUUUCAGACCCACAUUACUGUGUGCUGGUCAUUAGGAGAGAAAUUCAUGAUCUUCAAUAUAUUUAGAAUCCAAGUCUUGACCUAAGUAUGCAGGUCUGUAUGAGCCUAUCCACUACCAAUUCUACUGCUACCAUGAUCUAUUCCUGCAUAACGAACUAUCCUAAAACUUGAUGGCGCAAAACAAUGACAAUCAUUUCUUAUGCCCUUGAAAGUGCAAUUUGGACCAGGCUUAGCAGGGAAGGAUUAUCUCUGCUCCACAUAGUGUCAACUGGGGCAGUUCAGCUGUGGCUGGGAGGAUUUGCUUCCAAGAUGGCUCUCUCAAUGUGACUGGCAAGGUGGUGCUGGCUGCAAGCACAGCCAGGGGUCAGAGCAAUGGCCUUCAUUCCUUUCCAUGCAGACUUCUCUAUAAGGUCCAGGCUUUCUCACAGGACAGUGGCUGGAUUCUAAAGACUAACAUUCCCAGAAAGCGAGCCAGGCAGAAGUGGUAUCAUCUUUUAUGACCUAAUAGUGUACAGCAAAAAUGUCACAUAGUAUCAUUUCUGCUUUACACAGUUAGUCAAGGCAGUUUCAAAUGUCUGCCCAAGUUGAUUCCACCUUUUGUUGAGUUCAGAAGAGCACAGGAAAUGCUGCAGUCACAGACAUUUUUAGCAAACAGUCUCCCACAUCCUCCUUCCCAGACUUCCCCAUCUCCACGCCUCUCUGACCACUUUUGCAGCAGAACCACUAUUUUCUAGGUUAGCAGUUCUCAACUGUGGGUGAGUUUGCCCCUUGGAGACAUUUGUUGAUGUCUGGAGACAUUUUUUUUUUUUGUCAUCACAACUAGGUGCAUGCUGUUGACAUCCAGUGGCCCUGCUGGAAUUCAUUAACCUAGUUUCAGGCUCUGUAUGUUGGGACUGAUGAAGCAAUCCUGAAGAUGGUUCCUCUGGCAUCUCAGCUUCACAAAUUAUGCACACUCAUUUGAGAUACUGAUUCCUGAGGCCUGCCCAGGCUCCCCGGUGCCACGGUGUGUCUUCCUGUGGAGGAAAUGAGGCUGACACAACAGGCAGAAGGCUCCAACACAAAGGGUUGAUGAUUUAUUUGCAUUUCUGCAAAAAUAAAAGUGAAGUGCAGUUAAUAACAGAUCUGUCUGAUGACAUUGUAAGUGGGAAAAGAAGAAACGUGAGUUUAACUCUUUAACAGAGGCAAAUCCUUAAGUUGAUUUUUAACUUCAAUUAGGGCACACAACAUUUCUAAGACACAGCUUUACAUAUGUUUUUAUUUCACUGUGAGGAAUACUAUAAAUCCAAUAAUAAAAGAUAAAUAUCAAAGGGGAUGUUCUGAGGAAAACUGGGGAAUAGUGUUCCAUGAUGUCCAGAUGUAACAAAAUCAUCUUGUACUUUCUUCUA
This 1646-nucleotide long non-coding RNA is filed under the name Homo sapiens (human). RNAcentral's name for it is "HSALNT0346853". The record is from RNAcentral. Lineage: Eukaryota; Metazoa; Chordata; Mammalia; Primates; Hominidae.